RNAcentral lists this ribosomal RNA (181 nucleotides) under Escherichia coli. Its description in RNAcentral is "partial 23S ribosomal RNA". Lineage: Bacteria; Pseudomonadati; Pseudomonadota; Gammaproteobacteria; Enterobacterales; Enterobacteriaceae. The record is from RNAcentral.
CCAUCCUUUCACUCAAUCUUAAUAUCUCACUUGUCGCGUCGUCCUUCGCGUAAGCUUUACCGUGUCUAAACCCUUCACCUAAUCUGCUGCAUCGCCUCUUAUUCUUUUUUGGUUAGGGUAGCUGUCUUUAAUCCUGCGACGGUGUUCUGUGAUUCAUGCUGGCUGUAUCAGACGUUCUAAU